AUGAGCCCGGCCACUGUCGUUGAAUAUGUCGAACUGUGGCGGCGAAUCCAGCACGUGCAACUUACCGUUGACCCUGACGGAGUCACUUGGAAGUGGACUGCCAAUGGCAUCUAUACAGCCGGCUCGGCCUACUAGGCCUUGUUUGCCGGAUCGAUGAGUUCCCCCUUUUGGCGGCUCAUAUGGCGAUGUUGGGCUCCUUCCAAUGCCAAGUUCUUUUUAUGGCUCGCCUUCAUGGACCGUUGCUGUUCCGCCGAGCGGCGUGCUCUCCAUGGACUCCCGCAUGAUCCUCUCUGCAAAUUCUGCUGCCAAGAGCUCGAGAUAAUCGAUCACAUCCUAGUCCAUUGCGCUUUCUCCAGAAUUACAUGGCACGAAAUCCUCUCUUGGUGUAGACUGCCUGCUUCAUCCCUGGCCACCUCAACGACCCUCUACACCUGGUGGUCUGCCACUGCCACUGCCACCCCUACCAGUCUUCACAAAGGUGCAAACUCCAUCAUCGCCCUACUCGCCUGGUCCUUAUGGAAGCACUGCAACUCCGCGGUCUUCAACAACAUUCAGGUGUCUAGCAACGAUCUAGUGUGCACAAUCCGUGAUGAGGCUUGCCUGUGGGACCGUGCUGGUGCCAAAGGCCUGGGACUAAUUAUCCUCGUAUUGUAA
Molecule: ribosomal RNA, 654 nt
Filed under: Triticum aestivum (bread wheat)
Lineage: Eukaryota; Viridiplantae; Streptophyta; Magnoliopsida; Poales; Poaceae
Description: partial small subunit ribosomal RNA
Source: RNAcentral